GAUGAACGCUGGCGGCGUGCCUAAUACAUGCAAGUCGAGCGAACAGACGAGGAGCUUGCUCCUCUGACGUUAGCGGCGGACGGGUGAGUAACACGUGGAUAACCUACCUAUAAGACUGGGAUAACUUCGGGAAACCGGAUCUAAUACCGGAUAAUAUAUUGAACCGCAUGGUUCAAUAGUGAAAGACGGUUUUGCUGUCACUUAUAGCUGGAUCCGCGCCGCAUUAGCUAGUUGGUAAGGUAACGGCUUACCAACGCAACGAUGCGUAGCCGACCGGAGAGGGUGAUCAGCCACACGGGAACUGAGAAACGGUCCAGACUCCUACGGGAGGCAGCAGUAGGGAAUCUUCCGCAAUGGGCGAAAGCCUGACGGAGCAACGCCGCGUGAGUGAUGAAGGUCUUCGGAUCGUAAAACUCUGUUAUUAGGGAAGAACAAAUGUGUAAGUAACUAUGCACGUCUUGACGGUACCUAAUCAGAAAGCCACGGCUAACUACGUG
This 497-nucleotide ribosomal RNA is filed under the name uncultured bacterium. RNAcentral describes it as "partial 16S ribosomal RNA". It matches the Rfam family "Bacterial small subunit ribosomal RNA", at positions 28 to 507 of the family's 1533-position model. The record is from RNAcentral.